GACGAACGCUGGCGGCGUGCUUAACACAUGCAAGUCGAACGGAAAGGCCCUGCUUUUGUGGGGUGCUCGAGUGGCGAACGGGUGAGUAACACGUGAGUAACCUGCCCUUGACUUUGGGAUAACUUCAGGAAACUGGAGCUAAUACCGGAUAGGAGCUCCUGCUGCAUGGUGGGGGUUGGAAAGUUUCGGCGGUUGGGGAUGGACUCGCGGCUUAUCAGCUUGUUGGUGGGGUAGUGGCUUACCAAGGCUUUGACGGGUAGCCGGCCUGAGAGGGUGACCGGCCACAUUGGGACUGAGAUACGGCCCAGACUCCUACGGGAGGCAGCAGUGGGGAAUAUUGCACAAUGGGCGGAAGCCUGAUGCAGCAACGCCGCGUGCGGGAUGACGGCCUUCGGGUUGUAAACCGCUUUCGCCUGUGACGAGGCGUGAGUGACGGUAAUGGGUAAAGAAGCACCGGCUAACUACGUG
RNAcentral lists this ribosomal RNA (468 nucleotides) under uncultured bacterium. RNAcentral describes it as "partial 16S ribosomal RNA". It matches the Rfam family "Bacterial small subunit ribosomal RNA", at positions 28 to 507 of the family's 1533-position model. The record is from RNAcentral.